Molecule: ribosomal RNA, 1340 nt
Filed under: Escherichia coli
Lineage: Bacteria; Pseudomonadati; Pseudomonadota; Gammaproteobacteria; Enterobacterales; Enterobacteriaceae
Description: partial 23S ribosomal RNA
Rfam family: Bacterial large subunit ribosomal RNA
Source: RNAcentral
CAUAGGUUAAUGAGGCGAACCGGGGGAACUGAAACAUCUAAGUACCCCGAGGAAAAGAAAUCAACCGAGAUUCCCCCAGUAGCGGCGAGCGAACGGGGAGGAGCCCAGAGCCUGAAUCAGUGUGUGUGUUAGUGGAAGCGUCUGGAAAGGCGCGCGAUACAGGGUGACAGCCCCGUACACAAAAAUGCACAUGCUGUGAGCUCGAUGAGUAGGGCGGGACACGUGGUAUCCUGUCUGAAUAUGGGGGGACCAUCCUCCAAGGCUAAAUACUCCUGACUGACCGAUAGUGAACCAGUACCGUGAGGGAAAGGCGAAAAGAACCCCGGCGAGGGGAGUGAAAAAGAACCUGAAACCGUGUACGUACAAGCAGUGGGAGCACAGAGCAAUCUGUGUGACUGCGUACCUUUUGUAUAAUGGGUCAGCGACUUAUAUUCUGUAGCAAGGUUAACCGAAUAGGGGAGCCGAAGGGAAACCGAGUCUUAACUGGGCGUUAAGUUGCAGGGUAUAGACCCGAAACCCGGUGAUCUAGCCAUGGGCAGGUUGAAGGUUGGGUAACACUAACUGGAGGACCGAACCGACUAAUGUUGAAAAAUUAGCGGAUGACUUGUGGCUGGGGGUGAAAGGCCAAUCAAACCGGGAGAUAGCUGGUUCUCCCCGAAAGCUAUUUAGGUAGCGCCUCGUGAAUUCAUCUCCGGGGGUAGAGCACUGUUUCGGCAAGGGGGUCAUCCCGACUUACCAACCCGAUGCAAACUGCGAAUACCGGAGAAUGUUAUCACGGGAGACACACGGCGGGUGCUAACGUCCGUCGUGAAGAGGGAAACAACCCAGACCGCCAGCUAAGGUCCCAAAGUCAUGGUUAAGUGGGAAACGAUGUGGGAAGGCCCAGACAGCCAGGAUGUUGGCUUAGAAGCAGCCAUCAUUUAAAGAAAGCGUAAUAGCUCACUGGUCGAGUCGGCCUGCGCGGAAGAUGUAACGGGGCUAAACCAUGCACCGAAGCUGCGGCAGCGACGCUUAUGCGUUGUUGGGUAGGGGAGCGUUCUGUAAGCCUGCGAAGGUGUGCUGUGAGGCAUGCUGGAGGUAUCAGAAGUGCGAAUGCUGACAUAAGUAACGAUAAAGCGGGUGAAAAGCCCGCUCGCCGGAAGACCAAGGGUUCCUGUCCAACGUUAAUCGGGGCAGGGUGAGUCGACCCCUAAGGCGAGGCCGAAAGGCGUAGUCGAUGGGAAACAGGUUAAUAUUCCUGUACUUGGUGUUACUGCGAAGGGGGGACGGAGAAGGCUAUGUUGGCCGGGCGACGGUUGUCCCGGUUUAAGCGUGUAGGCUGGUUUUCCAGGCAAAUCCGG